GUCCAACUCUCACCUCUGUGCAUGACUGCUGAAAAAAUCCAUAGCUUUGAUUUACUGGACAAGUGAUUGGAUAGUCUGAGAUGUCUUGGAUCCCAACCUCGAGACUAAGAACUGGUUGUGAGACUUGGACAGCCUUCCACGUUGAUUACUUCCAUGAAGAGAAGCCCAAUUCCUUUAUGAUAAACUGCCUCUCACACUGAUGAGUCUCCCUAGAGCUGAACCACGCACCUGCAGGAGGAGACGCGAGCAUCCGAGCUGCAGAUGUUCUGGGCCUUGGAGAUGCUUUAAUGUGUACUGUCUGCGGAAGGCGU
Non-coding RNA from Odocoileus virginianus texanus, 311 nucleotides. The record is from RefSeq and is a predicted model, not a curated record. NCBI's taxonomy places the organism in Eukaryota, Metazoa, Chordata, Mammalia, Artiodactyla, Cervidae.